CGCUGGCGGCGUGCCUAAUACAUGCAAGUCGAACGGUCUUUCUAUGGAAGCUUGCUUCCACUGAGAAGAUAGUGGCGAACGGGUGAGUAACACGUGGGUAACCUGCCCAUAAGAGGGGGAUAACAUCCGGAAACGGGUGCUAAUACCGCAUAGUUUUCUCGAUCGCAUGAUUGAGAAAGGAAAGACGGCCUUUGUGCUGUCGCUUAUGGAUGGACCCGCGGCGUAUUAGUUAGUUGGUGAGGUAAUGGCUCACCAAGACGAUGAUACGUAGCCGACCUGAGAGGGUGAUCGGCCACAUUGGGACUGAGACACGGCCCAAACUCCUACGGGAGGCAGCAGUAGGGAAUCUUCCGCAAUGGACGAAAGUCUGACGGAGCAACGCCGCGUGAGUGAAGAAAGGUUUUCGGAUCGUAAAACUCUGUUGUCAGAGAAGAACAAGUUGGAGAGUAACUGCUCCAGCCUUGACGGUAUCUGACCAGAAAGCCACGGCUAACUACGUGCCAGCCGCCGC
This 511-nucleotide ribosomal RNA is filed under the name uncultured bacterium. RNAcentral describes it as "bacterial SSU rRNA". It matches the Rfam family "Bacterial small subunit ribosomal RNA", at positions 34 to 518 of the family's 1533-position model. The record is from RNAcentral.